UCGGGAAUUUUGCGCAAUGGGGGAAACCCUGACGCAGCAAUACCGCGUGUGGGAUGAAGGCCUUCGGGUCGUAAACCACUUUUUUCGGGGACGAUAAUGACGGUACCCGAAGAAUAAGCCACGGCUAACUACGUGCCAGCAGCCGCGGUAAUACGUAGGUGGCGAACGUUGUCCGGAUUUACUGGGCGUAAAGCGCGCGCAGGCGGACUGAUAAGUCAGAGGUGAAAUCUCCCGGCUCAACUGGGAGGG
This 249-nucleotide ribosomal RNA is filed under the name uncultured Chloroflexota bacterium. RNAcentral describes it as "uncultured Chloroflexi bacterium partial 16S ribosomal RNA". It matches the Rfam family "Bacterial small subunit ribosomal RNA", at positions 355 to 621 of the family's 1533-position model. The record is from RNAcentral. Lineage: Bacteria; Bacillati; Chloroflexota.